Small nucleolar RNA from Ictalurus punctatus (channel catfish), 76 nucleotides. Ensembl annotates it as Small nucleolar RNA SNORD66. The record is from Ensembl. NCBI's taxonomy places the organism in Eukaryota, Metazoa, Chordata, Actinopteri, Siluriformes, Ictaluridae.
CCGCUCUGAUGAUAUCAGAUUUGUGUCACAUGUCCAGGCCAAUGAUGAUCGCUGAUGGGAUUCAGGAACUGUGUAU